CCAACUCAGAAGCUAGGAUAUGCAUAUUAUUAACACAUUCGGAUAGAAAACACUCUGAAUUUUCUAAAACAGUUUGAAUGGUGUCUGUAAGUAUAACAAAACUCAUAUUGCAGGCAAAAACCUGUGAAAAAUAGAUCAAAAAAAAAUGUGAAUUUUGUGACUGUACUAUUUAGUGUCAUUGUUUUAUAGAUACCAUAGUGAGAAAGGAUUCAUUUCGCAACACCUACGGCUUCCACUAGAUGUCAACGAUCUUUAUAAAGUUGUUUGAAGCGUCUAUGAUAAACAGAGAGCAAAUUAGAAUCCAAGGAAGUUGACAUGUCAUCACUUCAUUUUUUUGCGCCUGCGCAUAAAUCUGAGAAACGUGAGUUUGUCAUCAUUUUUUAUCUAGACAUAGGAUAGGUUGUGUGAAAAUAUUACUGAUGUUUAACGUUAAAAAUGGAGCAAAAGAUUAAUGCUAAACAACAUUUGACAUGUUUGAACGAACAUAAAUAGAUUAUUUACUAGGUUUUUUUUUAGCUUUUCGGCGUGAUUUUACCAGCCCCCAACCACGUUUUGUGGGAGCAUAAUGAACGCUAAGUACUUGGUGUUAUUUGGACAUAAAUUAUGAACUUUGUCAAAAGAAACCACAUUUGUUCCGGACCUGGGAUGCCUUCCGGACCUGGGAUGCCUGUCUUCUGAUGGAGAUAAUCAAAGGUGUGAACAAUCAAGACAUAACCAAUCGACAAAGAAACAUGGAUCGGUGGCAGCUAGAAAGCCGGUGACGAUGACCGCCGAACGCUGCCCGAACAAGGAGAGGCACCAACAUCGGCGGAAGUCGUGACAACGAGGAGGAUCUCUGCAACUUCACCUGUUGACCGCUCCUGAAGAUCUGGGUAAACUGUGCACAGGGGAUCCAAAAUUGGGAGCUCGGGGAAACCACACUCCAAAGGAGAAGCUGGACCCUCCUCAGAUCUGCAGGAAGCGGGCACGGAUGGAUAUCAGAUCUCGAACAUAGUGCUGAGAGAGUGUGUGAGUGAAGGAGCCGGAACCAUGGGAGCACACGGUAGCGAAGGACACGGAAUUCCAGAUCCCCCAAAGGAUGCCCUGAAGGUUAAGUGCUGCCUGUGGCUGUCGACCUUCUUUCCCCCGCCUCUGCCUGAUGCCCUAGCUCUGCACUCCACUACGCCUCUUCACCCAACUCUGUUCCUCCCCUCUCGUAUGAAUCUCCCCUAGCAGCAGCGGUGGACCAACUGCUCUCUGAACUGGCCAUGCAUCAACUCCAAAACCAACCAGAAAAGGGUGCUGCUGGAGGAGCCAGAGCAGAAUGUAGGAAGAGCAACAACCUCUUCUCACAAUAACCACCUCUAGCCAGCCCGUUGGAGGAUGAUGACGACAACAGUGAUACAUCCUCUCAGAACGGAGCAUCAGCUCCCUACUCUCUUCCCCUCCGCUUAAGAGCCAUCUGCAAAGGAAGAUAGACCCGCCGACACCCUCACCAUAUGAUCUAGCACCAGAUAUGUAUCAACAGUACCCUCUGAUUGCAUGUCCAAACCCUCAGCCAUGACCAGCUGCAGGCCACACUGAUUUGGCUGCCUGGCAACCAAUCAUAUACCCAGAGGUCAUGGAGACAUGAUGAAAUUAAAGACAUUGUUGAGGAUUUGCCUGACCCCAGCAAAGAUGCGGUAAAGUUUGCAGCAGAAAUGAGGGUUCUGUCAGGACAGCACCAGCCAUCUGCAGCUGAGAUAGCCCAUAUCUGUAAGAAGAAACUAGGGCUUAGGUGGGCUGAUGUAGAAGGGGACUUUGAUUAUAAUCAGCUCUGGGAUGGGAAUGGAACUGUAUCCCGUCAAGACUGACUGGACAUCCAUCAGAGAAUGCACCAUCAAGAAAGAUGAGAGCCUGGAAGCGUAUUGAAGGAGACUGGAAACCUGUUUCAGGCUGCAAAGCGGCAUCAGACCAAAUUACCUGGCAUAUGGAAAUCUGUUGUAGGACGCCCUGAUGAGGGGCCUGACACCAGACUUGGAGAAAGCGGUGAGAACCACCUGUAUCAGUUGGGAAACUGAACCCCUGUCCACUGUGGUACAACAUUGCAAACAUGCUGAGCGACAACAAUGUGCUCAGAAGGAAGAAAAUACAAAAGAAGAAAGAGUGAAGACUGAAAUUGCAUUCUACCAAGACCAGGUGCCUGCUGGAGUGGGAGGUGGUGGAGGUGGAAGAAAACCCAAACUUGGAAGUUGCUUCACCUAUGGCAAGCCAGGCCAUUUCGGUGCACAAUGCAAUCAAGCCCAGCAGCUGAUGGGAAGAGGCAGGGGCAGACCAAGAGGCAGAGGAGCCCCAAGGGGGGCCCCUCGAGGAGGAGGUCCACCAGGAGGACAAGGAUUGUGGUAUCCCCCUGCUCAACAGCCAUGGCAGCCGCCACCCAACCAAUGGCCAGGGCCACCCCCACAUGGGGGCCCUCCGCCACCGUGGGGACCACAAGGGAGCCCUCAAGGCAGAGGCCAAUCUGGGCAAGGGCAGAUGGGCCCGCCUGCACAGACGACCCUGUACAAUCCAGGACAAGAAAAGGAGGAAGAAUAUUGACAUGGAGAGACAGACACAGAUGAGGGUGAAAGCAGCUUUGCCUCAGCCCCUGGUGGGAAUCCUACAUAAGCUUCAACCUGGUGACUGGGUUGUGGUCAAGGACCUGAGGAGGAAGCAUUGGACCCAGCAGAAGUGGAAUGGCCCAUUCCAGGUGUUGCUGAUAAACCCCACCACUGUUCGAGUGGCUGAGAGAUCGACAUGAGUACACUCCAGCCACUGCAGGAAGGUCCCAUAUGAUCCAGUUUCAGAUGUCCCGGAGGAUGGGUUUCCGCCAGCCAUGACCUAGUUGGCCGUGGGAGAAUCAGGAUGAAGUCAGAGGAAUCCUGGUUGUUGCAUUCUUUGCCAGCCUCUUCAUCUCAAUGACUGUUUGAACCCUGCAGAGAGGGGAAUAGGCGAAAGGGGAGGAUGGCCCAAAUAUCACUGCAGUCCCAAAGCUGGGACUUAAUAACAGCCACUCCAGCUCAAGCCAAUGGCAGGCUCAGGACAUGAGUCCAGUAAACAAUAGCCACACUGAGACCAGAAGAAGCAGGAGCUCGAUGCAUCCACUGGAUGAGCAUCACAGCCAGAAUCAUGAGGAAAACACUUGGUGGUCACUGCUUAAUUAUACAGUAAAAACUGAACUAAUGGUAGAAAACACCUCCUGUCAUGUAUGUAGUCUUUUUCCACGCUCAGCGAUCUCAACAUUCUUACAGUAUUCAGUAGAGGCCAGCAUUAACGACACUCUAUGUGCACUGGAAGUCAUCUUAUCAAAUUAAACUUCAUGGGGUUAACCUUCACAGGGUAGAACUAUGAAGGAAAAAUGCAUUAAUGAUGAUUUGUCAUUGUCAAAAGAUAUGAGGCAGAUUUGAUUGUAAACGUUGGUGUACUAAAAUGAUUUUAGAACCUAGACACCGUGUACUGAAACCUAUACUAAUCCAACCCCGCCAUUGUCACAACCCAAGUAUUAUCUCCAUACCACGAUCUUAUGAAUCCUAUUUGGGAAUGUCAACAUGUGUUAAUUAUAGUCUUCCCAUUAGGAUGUAGCUGGAUAAAUGGAACAUGCAAUUCUAACUGGCCUGUUAAACUUAAUGUGGGGCACACCACCAUUCAAGUAGAAACAGACGAGCGCUGUCCACAUCAAUAUGGCUCAGCCACGUUUAAUGAUCAUUAUUGGAUCUGUGGUAAUAAGGCAUAUCUUUAUUUACCAACAAAUUGGACAGGGUGCUGUGUUUUUGGUAAACUAAACAUCUCCAUUGUUGUAAUGCAUAAAACAAACUCCUCCAUUCCACGCAGAUUAAGACGGAUUAGGAGGAGCAUUUCACAAUUGAAUGACGUUCCAAUUGAGUCACGACGAUCCUCAGAACUUGAAGUUUUGGCAUGGGUUAAUUUCUUGAUAUGGGGCAUCGGAAAAUGCCCAUGACUUAGAACGAUUGGGAUAUCAUUUAGAAACUUUUGUAAAUUUAAACCACUUCAGGAUUUUCGAUAAUGAGACCAGAAUUACAAGCAGCUCGCCUCACGGCUAUACAGAAUAGAUUAGCACUUGAUAUGUUACUAGCACAGGAAGGGGGAGUGUGCCAAAUGAUAGGUGAAUAUUGCUGUACAUUCAUACCCCAGGAUGAGGGUAACUUCACUAUUGUUGUGGAACAUCUGGAAGAGCUCACCGGCGAUCUCACAAAAGAACACCAACCAGACAACAAUUGGAAUCCGUUUGGAUGGGUUCAAUCAUUAUUUGGUGUUAUGGAAACAACAGUUUUCCAUUGGCUCAUUUAUGGCCAAUUAAUAUUUUUUGCUGUGCUAUUUCUUAUUGUCUAUGUUAAAAAUCUUUGUUGUAAAGUGCUGGAUACUGCCCUCACUAUGCCAUUGCUUGAUGUUCAUGCUGACUCUGAGGAUGAUGAGAAUAAUGAUGAUGUAUCUAUAAAUGAUCGAAUGCCUGAUAUUCCAGACCUAUUUCCCAUUCCUGAUUACAUACAGUGGGGAGAACAAGUAUUUGAUACACUGCCAAUUUUGCAGGUUUUCCUACUUACAAAGCAUGUAGAGGUCUGUAAUUUUUAUCAUAGGUACACUUCAACAGUGAGAGACAGAAUCUAAAACAAAAAUCCAGAAAAUCACAUUGUAUGAUUUUUAAGUAAUUAAUUUGCAUUUUAUUGCAUGACAUAAGUAUUUGAUACAUCAGAAAAGCAGAACUUAAUAUUUGGUACAGAAACCUUUGUUUGCAAUUACAGAGAUCAUACGUUUCCUGUAGUUCUUGACCAGGUUUGCACACACUGCAGCAGGGAUUUUGGCCCACUCCUCCAUACAGACCUUCUCCAAAUCCUUCAGGUUUUGGGGCUGUCGCUGGGCAAUACGGACUUUCAGCUCCCUCCAAAGAUUUUCCAUUGGGUUCAGGUCUGGAGACUGGCUAGGCCACUCCAGGACCUUGAGAUGCUUCUUACGGAGCCACUCCUGGCUGUGUGUUUCGGGUCGUUGUCAUGCUGGAAGACCCAGCCACGACCCAUCUUCAAUGCUCUUACUGAGGGAAGGAGGUUGUUGGCCAAGAUCUCGCGAUACAUGGCCCCAUCCAUCCUCCCCUCAAUACGGUGCAGUCGUCCUGUCCCCUUUGCAGAAAAGCAUCCCCAAAGAAUGAUGUUUCCACCUCCAUGCUUCACGGAUGGGAUGGUGUUCUUGGGGUUGUACUCAUCCUUCUUCUUCCUCCAAACACGGCGAGUGGAGUUUAGACCAAAAACCUAUUUUUUUGUCUCAUCAGACCACAUGACUUUCUCCCAUUCCUCCUUUGGAUCAUCCAGAUGGUCAUUGGCAAACUUCAGACGGGCCUGGACAUGCGCUGGCUUGAGCAGGGGGACCUUGCGUGCGCUGCAGGAUUUUAAUCCGUGAUGGCGUAGUGUGUUACUAAUGGUUUUCUUUGAGACUGUGGUCCCAGCUCUCUUCAGGUCAUUGAACAGGUCCUGCCGUGUAGUUCUGGGCUGAUCCCUCACCUUCCUCAUGAUCAUUGAUGCCCCCCGAGGUGAGAUCUUGCAUGGAGCCCCAGACUGAGGGUGAUUGACCAUCAUUUUGAACUUCUUCCAUUUUCUAAUAAUUGCGCCAACAGUUGUUGCCUUCUCACCAAGCUGCUUGCCUAUUGUCCUGUAGCCCAUCCCAGCCUUGUGCAGGUCUACAAUUUGAUCCCUGAUGUCCUUACACAGCUCUCUGGUCUUGGCCAUUGUGGAGAGGUUGGAGUCUGUUUGAUUGAGUGUGUGGACAGGUGUCUUUUAUACAGGUAACGAGUUCAAACAGGUGCAGUUAAUACAGGUAAUGAGUGGAGAACAGGAGGGCUUCUUAAAGAAAAACGAACAGGUCUGUGAGAGCCGGAAUUCUUACUGGUUGGUAGGUGAUCAAAUACUUAUGUCAUGCAAUAAAAUGCAAAUUAAUUACUUAAAAAUCAUACAAUGUGAUUUUCUGGAUUUUUGUUUUAGAUUCCGUCUCUCACAGUUGAAGUGUACCUAUGAUAAAAAAAUUACAGACCUCUACAUGCUUUGUAAGUAGGAAAACCUGCAAAAUCGGCAGUGUAUCAAAUACUUGUUCUCCCCACUGUAUCUGAUGAUGAGGACCCUAACCCUGAUCUUAGAGCUAAGGGUAUUGAACUAAUGGUCCACUCAGUUUGUAGGACAUAUCCCAAGAAAGGUAGAUGUUCUUGGUGUUAAAAAUCAAUGAAUGGUAAGGAUGGACAUUUUCAUAAUUCUGACCCCUAUCUUUGUGCGUAGUGCCAGCGUGAUGAUUAUCCUAUUGCUGUAAUGAAACUUUUGUGUGAUUGAAUUUUUGUUUCGUUUUCUGUUCCCGAUUGACUGUUUUUGGAUAAGAAAGGUCUGAAACUCAGCAACCCAAAGGAAGGGUUUUUACAAUGGAUGAAAUGUCAGGCACCAGAAAUAUGUACUUUGUUUAAAAUGUAUAUGUUUACCAAUAAUCAUGUAAUGCUUGUACCCUUACAUUUUUCUGUAAGAAACUUAGUUUCUUGAGAAGGAAAUGUGACAGAAAAAUUGUAUUUACCUAAUUUGUUGGAUAUUUAACAAGUAUUUACUUACCAAACAGUAAAAUAUUUCUGUCCUGCUAAUUCUGUGUUAAAGUGAUGGUUUCCACUUUAACUUCCUAUAGUUACUCUGGGUGUCUGGUUCAGGAAAUGGGUUUUGCUAGAGAUAGCUUGAGCUGACAAUGACUUGGUGAUAAAAACCUAAAAGCUGGCAUUUCAUAGACAAGAUGUGGUGUGUGACCCGAGAUAGAGAGAGCCUGGAAGAGCUUAGAACAAUGCCUCAUCUUCCUGGCAUCUUGGAAACUUAGCCGGAUUGAAAGUAAAACAAGAUCCCGUGCAGAUGAACCAAGUUGGCUUAUGGGAAGGGUAUAAAUGAAUGACUAAGCAUUUUUUAGGGCCUAUGUAAGAUCUCUGCUUUUUCAUUAUCAGUUAACCUGUUUAGGAUAGGGGGCAGUAUUUUCAUGGCCGGAUAAAAAAACGUACCCGAUUUAAUCUGGUUAUUACUCCUGCCCAGAAACUAGAAUAUGCAUAUAAUUAUUUUUAUUUGGAU
RNAcentral lists this long non-coding RNA (7085 nucleotides) under Salmo salar (Atlantic salmon). Its description in RNAcentral is "lncRNA (ENSSSAG00000107092.1)". Lineage: Eukaryota; Metazoa; Chordata; Actinopteri; Salmoniformes; Salmonidae. The record is from RNAcentral.